Molecule: ribosomal RNA, 253 nt
Filed under: uncultured bacterium
Lineage: Bacteria
Description: partial 16S ribosomal RNA
Rfam family: Bacterial small subunit ribosomal RNA
Source: RNAcentral
UACAGAGGUCCCAAGCGUUGUUCGGAUUCACUGGGCGUAAGGGGUGCGUAGGUGGCCAGGUAAGUUUGGUGUGAAAGCUCGGAGCUUAACUCCGAAAAGUCAUUGAAUACUAUCUGGCUGGAGGGUCGGAGGGGAGACUGGAAUUCUCGGUGUAGCAGUGAAAUGCGUAGAUAUCGAGAGGAACACCAGUGGCGAAGGCGAGUCUCUGGACGACUCCUGACACUGAGGCACGAAAGCGAGGGGAGCAAACAGG